This is a non-coding RNA of Arachis ipaensis, 322 nucleotides long. NCBI's taxonomy places the organism in Eukaryota, Viridiplantae, Streptophyta, Magnoliopsida, Fabales, Fabaceae. The record is from RefSeq and is a predicted model, not a curated record.
GUUUUGAAUAAAUAGCUUUGGUCGUUACGUGGAAAUCGGCCAAGGGACCAGAUGUCGACUCGCGGACACGGUAGCAGGCGAGGUAGAGGUAGGACAGGCACCGUUACUCCUGCCCCCAUAGGGACUGAUCCAGUAGACUUUAUGGCUGCCCUGGGAAAAUGGCUGCAGCUAUGAUAGGAUAAUAUCCGCAUAUCCGCGGUAAUUAUCCGCAUUCGAUCCGAAUUUUGUGGAUAUUAUCCGAUCCGCACUAUGAUAGGAUCGGAUUGCGAAUUUGGCAGUGAUAUCCGCGGAUCCGAUCCGCAAAUCCGCAUAUCCGCACAUU